This 483-nucleotide ribosomal RNA is filed under the name uncultured bacterium. RNAcentral's name for it is "bacterial SSU rRNA". It matches the Rfam family "Bacterial small subunit ribosomal RNA", at positions 27 to 507 of the family's 1533-position model. The record is from RNAcentral.
GGACGAACGCUGGCGGCGUGCCUAACACAUGCAAGUCGAGCGGAGCCAAUUGACUGAACCCUUCGGGGGGAAGACAAGGAAGCUUAGCGGCGGACGGGUGAGUAACGCGUGAGUAACCUGCCCAUAAGUGGGGGAUAACACAUUGAAAAGUGUGCUAAUACCGCAUAUUGAUAUAAAGGGACAUCCCUAAAUAUUGAAAGAUUUAUUGCUUAUGGAUGGACUCGCGUCUGAUUAGAUAGUUGGUGGGGUAACGGCCCACCAAGUCGACGAUCAGUAGCCGAACUGAGAGGUUGAUCGGCCACAUUGGGACUGAGACACGGCCCAGACUCCUACGGGAGGCAGCAGUGGGGGAUAUUGCGCAAUGGGGGAAACCCUGACGCAGCAACGCCGCGUGAAGGAAGACGGCCUUCGGGUUGUAAACUUCUGUCGCAAGGGAAGAAGACAGUGACGGUACCUUGUGAGAAAGCCACGGCUAACUACGUG